Molecule: long non-coding RNA, 1180 nt
Organism: Equus asinus (donkey)
Lineage: Eukaryota; Metazoa; Chordata; Mammalia; Perissodactyla; Equidae
Source: Ensembl
GCCAGCCUCGGGCAAAACUGAGGAGGAGCUGAAAUACCACCUUCGGCAUCCUCAGCUCUCAGUUUACCUGGCGGGCUUGCCUGCACCAAGCAAGCGCUCAGGGAGCGUCUGACAAAAGGCAAAUUGCUACAGAAUUGAAACCACUGGCUUCGUAUUUAUGAGAAGUUUGGGGCUGAGUCUCUAGCCCUGGAAUUUAACCGCCUCUUUUUGAUUAGAAGUGCAGAAUUACACUUUUAAAAAGUUUCUCUAGGGUCAGCCCAGUGUCAGAGUGGAGUGAUCACCCUCUGCCCCAUCCCACUCUUCGCAGAAAGGAGCUGCCACGAGACUGUGAGUGUUGACCGUGCGAGGACCAAGGUAGGAGUCACUAUGCUGCCGUCUUCAAACAGCAGGGUGGGGCUUCCUGGUGGAGAGCGGAGGUAGAGUUCGCAUCAGCUGAAGGCGGGCUGCCUCCCAGUUGUCCUGUAUCUUCUCUGCUGUCUUCUCUUUUCCAGUGAAGACAUUUCAUAAAUACCUUAGCUCUGAAAAUUUCUAUUUUAUCUUCAGGAGAGUCUUAGAUUUCAAGCUGUUUCAGGUGAGUGCAUGCUUCCUCACUCAUUGGAUCGUUGUCUUAAAUGACCGCACGAAAAACAGGGAUAACAUCAAAAUUUCCUAACCUCUCUGCAUUAGUGCCGAAAGACAGCACCCGUGCCUGCCUCAGCCAAGCCUUGAGGAAGUUUGGUGGCAUUAGAAAUCUUCAAAGAAACCUCAGUCAGCUGUGCGCCUUUUCAGCAGCGUUACUGACAUUGUUACUGGCAGUUCUUCCCUGUGUAUGGUAAUUGAAGCCAAGGCUAAGAGAUGUGCUGGUUAGACCUGUUCUGUGCCCACUGAGGAGGAAGGAAGGCGUCUGCUUGGCAGUUGACGUUGUGCAACUCAGCUCACUGUCUUUACUAACUUUUAUUUAACCUUACGGGCAAUCUUAUUCUUGAGGAUAAAAACAGCGCUUGUGUUUUUAAUGUUCUCUUCCUUCUCUGCAGCUCUGGCCGCCUUGUGACUGGGCUCACGUGGCUCUUAGGGUGGCCGUGCUUUUUCAUCGUUGCUAGUGUGCUGUUUGCCUGAGAAGACUCAGCCCUCCGAUGGACCCCAGGGCCGUGUAAUCCCAAGUUAAUUAAAAAUAAACUUUUAUGAAUAUUUAAGAGUCAUU